CAAAGGCUUGGUCCUGACUUUAAUGUCAACUUUAGCUAGACUUACACAUGCAAGUAUCCGCACCCCUGUGAGAAUGCCCUAAGUUCUCUGUUCGAGAACAAGGAGCCGGUAUCAGGCACCUCUUAUACAUUAAGCCCACGACACCUUGCUCAGCCACACCCUCAAGGGAACUCAGCAGUGAUCAACAUUAAGCAAUGAGUGAAAGCUCGACUUAGUCAAAGCUAAUUAAGAGUCGGUAAAAUUCGUGCCAGCCACCGCGGUUAUACGAGAGACUCAAGUUGACAAUCAACGGCGUAAAGCGUGGUUAAGGAAGACCUGUAAAACUAAAGCCGAACACUUUCCAAGCUGUCAUACGCUCUCGAAAGUAAGAAGCCCGAUCACGAAAGUGGCUUUAUCCUACCUGAACCCACGAAAGCUAAGACACAAACUGGGAUUAGACACCCCACUAUGCUUAGCCAUAAACAUCGAUGGCCACAACACCCCUGCCAUCCGCCCGGGAACUACGAGCAUCAGCUUAAAACCCAAAGGACUUGGCGGUGCUUAAGAUCCACCUAGAGGAGCCUGUUCUAGAACCGAUAAUCCCCGUUCAACCUCACCCCUUCUUGCCCAUUCCGUCUAUAUACCGCCGUCGUCAGCUUACCCUUUGAGGGUAAAACAGUAAGCAAAAUUGGCAAAGCCCAAAACGUCAGGUCGAGGUGUAGCGUAUGAAGGGGGAAGCUUAUGGGCUACAUUCACUAUCAUAGUGAAAUACGGACGAUGAUGCUGAAACGCACAUCCAAAGGAGGAUUUAGCAGUAAGUGAGAAUCAGAGCGUCCCACUGAAACUGGCCCUAAAGCGCGCACACACCGCCCGUCACUCUCCCCGGGCUAAAAUUUACAUAUAUUUAAUACCCAGCACCUGCACAAGGGGAGGCAAGUCGUAACAUGGUAAGUGUACCGGAAGGUGCACUUGGAACAAC
RNAcentral lists this ribosomal RNA (958 nucleotides) under Parachanna insignis. RNAcentral's name for it is "12S rRNA". It matches the Rfam family "Bacterial small subunit ribosomal RNA". Lineage: Eukaryota; Metazoa; Chordata; Actinopteri; Anabantiformes; Channidae. The record is from RNAcentral.